ACUAAGCCAUUUUCUAUGGACCUACAAAGUUUCAGGCCAACCGGAGUCCGUCAAAAAAAAUCCUACAAAAUCAGCAUGUACUAAUACAAAUAAAAAAAUGAAUAUAAUUAUAAUUUUUUUGCAGCAACUAAGAAGAAGAAGAAGAAGAAGAAAGGAGGAAGAAAAGGCCUGAAAUUAUAUAUAUUUUGAGUACUAGUUAAAUAUUUUUUUAAAAGUGGAUACAAGUUAAAUAGAUCAUGUAAAUAUCAUUUAUAUCUUCUUUGGGUAGAGGUAAGGUUUGCGUACAUUCUACCCUCCCCAGACAGGCAGACUCCACUAGUGGAAUUACACGUUAUUAUUGUUGUUGGGUACAAGGUAAAUAGGACGACAAGUAAGGCACCCCUGAAAUUUUUACCUACUUUUUUCUGACUUGUAACUCCGCCCUCGAUAACCUGUGAUUUGUGAACAUUGUAUGGACUAGAUUGUUCGGUUCAAUCAAUAAUGUGUCCAAAAUUCCAUGGUCCUACUUGUCUCAUUUUGACGAUUUUUCUCUUGUUUGAUAUCUACAUCUUAAGUUACAAUCUUCAAAUUUUACUGUCCUGAAUAUCUUACUUGGGUUAAUAUACGAUAGCAUCCUUCGAGGCAGACGAUUACCUGUGUGUUCAGUAAAACUCAACAACUUUAGUUUAAAUUUUAUAUUUAUAUUAAAAAGUUCACAAAAUAUGUACAAAACAUUUUCCAUAAAGUUUCUCUUAUAACACAGACCAACAAACGAUUUCAAUAAACUAAAUUAGACAAGAUUAAAGAUUGAAAAAUAAGUCCACUUAAAGAUAAAAAUUUACUUGGUUCUUCACUUCUUUGCAACAAAUGACAUUGAAACAAUAAUACACUGAAAUAAUUUCAUAAAUAAAUCGCUAUUCAACAAUAGCACAAUCCACAAAGAUACAAUUUUGAGGGAAGAGGAAGAGAAAAUAAAUCAAGAAACUCGACAUCCUCUCAUGUCGAUCCAGGCAAUUAAUCCUUCAAAUCUUAGCUUGGAACCUGUAAUUCAGACAGAAUUUAUGAUUAAUGAGUUUAAGUUCCUUACUUUA
RNAcentral lists this long non-coding RNA (1070 nucleotides) under Nicotiana tabacum (common tobacco). Its description in RNAcentral is "long non-coding RNA (NTAB_LNC001668)". The record is from RNAcentral. Lineage: Eukaryota; Viridiplantae; Streptophyta; Magnoliopsida; Solanales; Solanaceae.